CCUACGGGAGGCAGCAGUGAGGAAUAUUGGUCAAUGGACGAGAGUCUGAACCAGCCAAGUAGCGUGAAGGAUGACUGCCCUAUGGGUUGUAAACUUCUUUUAUAAAGGAAUAAAAUGAGGCACGUGUGCCUUUUUGCAUGUACUUUAUGAAUAAGCAUCGGCUAACUCCGUGCCAGCAGCCGCGGUAAUACGGAGGAUCCGAGCGUUAUCCGGAUUUAUUGGGUUUAAAGGGAGCGUAGAUGGGUUGUUAAGUCAGUGGUGAAAGUUUGCGGCUCAACCGUGAAAUUGCAGUUGAUACUGGCAGACUUGAGUACAGAUGAGGUAGGCGGAAUUCGUGGUGUAGCGGUGAAAUGCUUAGAUAUCGCGAAGAACCCCGAGUGCGAAGGCAGCUUACUAACCUGUGACUGACGUUGAUGCUCGAAAGUGUGGGUAUCAAACAGGAUUAGAUACCCCUGUAGUC
This 460-nucleotide ribosomal RNA is filed under the name uncultured bacterium. RNAcentral's name for it is "partial 16S ribosomal RNA". It matches the Rfam family "Bacterial small subunit ribosomal RNA", at positions 338 to 795 of the family's 1533-position model. The record is from RNAcentral.